GGUUCCGGUGCCGUCGGUGCCCUACCAAGACAAGAAACCGGGGGAAAUGACCCCUACCAAGCCCCACCCCUCCCGCCCGAGGCGCUUCGUCACUCGGGCGGGUGAACAUCACCGUUUGAGCUGGAUUUCGGGGCCCUCAACUCCCCUACUCUCAGCGCAAACAAACACAUCUGAAAAGGCAUCGGCCCCCGCUGGGACUGGCAUCCCGGUGCGAGGGCCUAACCACCAAGGAAGAAGAGAGCUUCCCG
RNAcentral lists this non-coding RNA (248 nucleotides) under Streptomyces lividans TK24. RNAcentral describes it as "Streptomyces sRNA 4677". It matches the Rfam family "Streptomyces sRNA 4677". From Rfam's summary of the family: Located in the intergenic region between anti-sigma factor SCO4677 gene and a putative regulatory protein gene SCO4676. scr4677 expression requires the SCO4677 activity and scr4677 sRNA itself seem to affect the levels of the SCO4676-associated transcripts. The record is from Rfam by way of RNAcentral. Lineage: Bacteria; Bacillati; Actinomycetota; Actinomycetes; Kitasatosporales; Streptomycetaceae.